UUUAAUCGAUGGGGGGACGCAGUAGGAUAGGCGAAGCGUGCGAUUGGAUUGCACGUCUAAGCAGUAAGGCUGAGUAUUAGGCAAAUCCGGUACUCAUUAAGGCUGAGCUGUGAUGGGGAGAAGACAUUGUGUCUUCGAGUCGUUGAUUUCACACUGCCGAGAAAAGCCUCUAGAUAGAAAAUAGGUGCCCGUACCGCAAACCGACACAGGUAGUCAAGAUGAGAAUUCUAAGGUGAGCGAGCGAACUCUCGUUAAGGAACUCGGCAAAAUGACCCCGUAACUUCGGGAGAAGGGGUGCUCUUUAGGGUUAACGCCCAGAAGAGCCGCAGUGAAUAGGCCCAAGCGACUGUUUAUCAAAAACACAGGUCUCUGCUAAACCGUAAGGUGAUGUAUAGGGGCUGACGCCUGCCCGGUGCUGGAAGGUUAAGAGGAGUGGUUAGCUUCUGCGAAGCUACGAAUCGAAGCCCCAGUAAACGGCGGCCGUAACUAUAACGGUCCUAAGGUAGCGAAAUUCCUUGUCGGGUAAGUUCCGACCCGCACGAAAGGCGUAACGAUUUGGGCACUGUCUCAACGAGAGACUCGGUGAAAUCAUAGUACCUGUGAAGAUGCAGGUUACCCGCGACAGGACGGAAAGACCCCGUGGAGCUUUACUGUAGCCUGAUAUUGAAAUUCGGCACAGCUUGUACAGGAUAGGUAGGAGCCUUUGAAACGUGAGCGCUAGCUUACGUGGAGGCGCUGGUGGGAUACUACCCUAGCUGUGUUGGCUUUCUAACCCGCACCACUUAUCGUGGUGGGAGACAGUGUCAGGCGGGCAGUUUGACUGGGGCGGUCGCCUCCUAAAAGGUAACGGAGGCGCUCAAAGGUUCCCUCAGAAUGGUUGGAAAUCAUUCAUAGAGUGUAAAGGCAUAAGGGAGCUUGACUGCGAGACCUACAAGUCGAGCAGGGUCGAAAGACGGACUUAGUGAUCCGGUGGUUCCGCAUGGAAGGGCCAUCGCUCAACGGAUAAAAGCUACCCCGGGGAUAACAGGCUUAUCUCCCCCAAGAGUUCACAUCGACGGGGAGGUUUGGCACCUCGAUGUCGGCUCAUCGCAUCCUGGGGCUGUAGUCGGUCCCAAGGGUUGGGCUGUUCGCCCAUUAAAGCGGUACGCGAGCUGGGUUCAGAACGUCGUGAGACAGUUCGGUCCCUAUCCGUCGUGGGCGUAGGAAAUUUGAGAGGAGCUGUCCUUAGUACGAGAGGACCGGGAUGGACAUACCUCUGGUGUACCAGUUGUCGUGCCAACGGCAUAGCUGGGUAGCUAUGUGUGGACGGGAUAAGUGCUGAAAGCAUCUAAGCAUGAAGCCCCCCUCAAGAUGAGAUUUCCCAACUUCGGUUAUAAGAUCCCUCAAAGAUGAUGAGGUUAAUAGGUUCGAGGUGGAAGCAUGGUGACAUGUGGAGCUGACGAAUACUAAUCGAUCGAAGACUUAAUCAA
Molecule: ribosomal RNA, 1469 nt
Filed under: Staphylococcus aureus UB 08-116
Lineage: Bacteria; Bacillati; Bacillota; Bacilli; Caryophanales; Staphylococcaceae
Description: bacterial LSU rRNA
Rfam family: Bacterial large subunit ribosomal RNA
Source: RNAcentral